AGGAAUAUUGCUCAAUGGGAGAAAUCCUGAAGCAGCAACGCCGCGUGGAGGAUGAAGGGUCUAUGACUUGUAAACUCCUGUAAAGAAGGAAAAAAUUCCCAUUAGAUGGGAGAUGAUGGUACUUCUGGAGUAAGCCCCGGCUAACUACGUGCCAGCAGCCGCGGUAAUACGUAGGGGGCAAGCGUUGUCCGGAUUUACUGGGUGUAAAGGGUGCUCAGGCGGAAUUGUAAGUCAGAGGUGAAAUCUUACAGCUUAACUGUGAAACUGCCUUUGAUAAUGCAAGCCUAGAGUAUGGAAGAGAGUGAUGGAAUAUCUGGAGUAGCAGUGAAAUGCGUAGAUAUCAGAUAGAACACCAAUGGCGAAGGCAGUCACUUGGUCCAUUACUGACGCUAAAGCACGAAAGCGUGGGUAGC
Molecule: ribosomal RNA, 413 nt
Filed under: uncultured bacterium
Lineage: Bacteria
Description: bacterial SSU rRNA
Rfam family: Bacterial small subunit ribosomal RNA
Source: RNAcentral